Molecule: ribosomal RNA, 491 nt
Filed under: uncultured bacterium
Lineage: Bacteria
Description: partial 16S ribosomal RNA
Rfam family: Bacterial small subunit ribosomal RNA
Source: RNAcentral
GAUGAACGCUGGCUACAGGCUUAACACAUGCCAGUCGAGGGGAAACGACGGGGAAGCUUGCUUCCCCGGGCGUCGACCGGCGCACGGGUGAGUAACGCGUAUCCAACCUGCCUCUGACUGAGGGAUAACCCGUCGAAAGUCGGCCUAAUACCUCAUGGCAUCGUCUGCGGGCAUCCAACGACGAUUAAAGAUUUCAUCGGUCAGGGAUGGGGAUGCGUCUGAUUAGCUUGUUGGCGGGGUAACGGCCCACCAAGGCUACGAUCAGUAGGGGUUCUGAGAGGAAGGUCCCCCACAUUGGAACUGAGGCACGGUCCAAACUCCUACGGGAGGCAGCAGUGAGGAAUAUUGGUCAAUGGGCGGGAGCCUGAACCAGCCAAGUAGCGUGCAGGAUGACGGCCCUAUGGGUUGUAAACUGCUUUUAUGCGGGGAUAAAGUGAGGGACGUGUCCUUCAUUGCAGGUACCGCAUGAAUAAGGACCGGCUAAUUCCGUG